ACGCUCGACACCUACUGGAGGCAGCAGUGGGGAAUAUUGCACAAUGGGGGAAACCCUGAUGCAGCGACGCCGCGUGAGUGAAGAAGUAUUUCGGUAUGUAAAGCUCUAUCAGCAGGGAAGAAGAUGACGGUACCUGAGUAAGAAGCCCCGGCUAACUACGUGCCAGGAGCCGCGGUAAUCUGAGCGGGCUGGCAAGGC
This 198-nucleotide ribosomal RNA is filed under the name uncultured bacterium. RNAcentral describes it as "partial 16S ribosomal RNA". It matches the Rfam family "Bacterial small subunit ribosomal RNA", at positions 328 to 539 of the family's 1533-position model. The record is from RNAcentral.